Poecilia reticulata (guppy) is the source of this 2900-nucleotide non-coding RNA. Lineage: Eukaryota; Metazoa; Chordata; Actinopteri; Cyprinodontiformes; Poeciliidae. The record is from RefSeq and is a predicted model, not a curated record.
ACCAAUCUCAGUCUGUCUCUAUGUUUACAGUAGAGAGGACACAAAAGAACCCAGAACAACAUGUUACGCUCAUUUUACAGGUGAGCAAAGGAGAAAAAGAACCAGACUGUUCUUCAGUGAUCCAAAGUCUUAUUUUCAGAUGAAAGUAAAAUUUACACUUGAUUUGGAAAUCAAGGUCCCAGAGUCUGGAGGAAGAGCGGAGAGGCACAGCAGCAUCCACAUUGCUUGAAGCUCAAUGUGAAAUUUCCACACAGGACUUGGCACCGGCCCACACUGCCAAAUGUACCCAGAAGCGGUUCGAUGAACAUGGUGCUCUGGUUUCUGAUUAGCCAGCAAACUUAGCUGCCCUAAACCCGAGAGAGGAUCGAUGCAAUAUUGUUAAAAUAAAGACGGAAGACACAGAAACCACAAAGAUGACCUGAAAGCUUUUUUUUAAAGCAACACAGGCUUUUAUUACAUCCACUUAGCCGAUUACUUUCAUGCAAUAGCGCAUUGAUGUAAUAGUUCAUGUUAAAGGAGCAUCAACCAAUUAUUAAGGGCAUACUGUUAAUUAUUUGUAAGUCAUAAUCAUUAAAAUUACAAGAAAUAAAUUUAAAUAUUUCACUCUUUGUAUUAAAUCUGCAUAAUAUAUUAUAUAACAUUUCACUUUCUAAAAUGUGACAAGAAAUAUUGAACUUUUUCAUGGUAUUCUAAAUUUUUGAGAUGUACAGGUAGCCUUGAAAUUGCAUAUAUAUUUUUUUAUCAAGUAAAUCAAAAACCAUUUGAUUUACUUGAUAAAAAUCAAAAGGCUGUUCUAAGCAAUCUAACCUACUGUGUCAGUCAAGAGGGGGGGCUACAAGGUCCAGAAUAUUUAAAAAGAACCUGCUUUCACCUGCAUUAAAUGUGCCUUCAAACGCUUUCUGUAGUAUUCUGAUUAACACAGCUAUGGCAUCUCCGUUCUAGCCGGAGAGCAGGAGAGAAAACAUGUGCAUGGUUAGAGUUACACAGCGAGGGAAAAAUGCCAGAAAGGACAUGCGCAGAGGCCGACUUGCCAAAGGGGCUUUGGAUCCCACUCAAGCCCGUUUGCUACUGAUGUUUAUUUGUGAUACUUAUCAGCUCAUAUGGGGGAGGGGGGAAGAAUUGGACCAUUUAUUGUACAGAUUGUUCAAGGUUCUUUAUUUGUCAGUCAUAUAACCAGUUACAUUUGUAGAUUAAUUAAGCAGUUACAGUUACAUCGGCCCCAUUUGUGGUGCCUCUCCUCUCAACCGCGGUCGAGCACCCGCGGGAUACAUGAAGGCAUCCUCACCGUGCUGACCAACACACCACAAAGAGGCACACAACCACCAACCCCUUCACAUCUCAGCUGAUUGCUCUCAUCUCCACUCAGCCAUUACUUCAAUCUGUCAGCUUUUUUAAAUUUAGAGAAGCAAAAUUUAAACAAACCAGUUAGUUGCUUUACCCCCCCAAAGAUUAGUCUGUUUAGCUAUAAAAAAAAAUAAUAAAUAAAUAAAAAAACAGUAACAACAGUGGAAAAGCAACAAGCCAGCAUCCCACUGGCUCACCCUCAGGACAUGAAAAGCAAAGAGUGAGUGGCAGUCGAGUGAGUAUCUGUGUGUGUGUGUGUGUGUGUACACUCAUUUCUCAUUCAAAGUUAACAUUUGCCCCAAACAUUGACAAACACAAAUGUUCAGCAGCACAUUGUUAUGUUAGGAUAUUGGCAUAUUUUGAGCAGGCUGAUGCUCCUGUAUGAAAAUAGAGUUUUAUUUGUCCUGAGCGUGUCUGUUUGACCUAAACCAGGGAGUGUCUCUGCACAACUCCUUUGGUGCCUCUAGUCUUUUCAGACAGACAUCCCACGUUCUCCCUCGGAGGCUGUCAUGAUAUGUUUGGCCAGUGGAAAGCUUCAAUUCGAAUAGAGAGGGCACUGAUUGGCUUACUGCAUUCCUGCUCAACAUAACUGCAUCACAGAUAUUCACUGCACUGCAACACAUUGGUGAAUUAUCAUGUGCAUGAAUCCUAAUGUCGCUGUCUGCGUGAUGUAUCUACUUUCACUAAAUAACACUAAAUGUACAAUGUUUUUUUUUUGGGGGGAUUUUUAAAAAUGAUAUGUUGGCAAACAUCUACAGAACAAUGUGCAUUUUUUUUGUUUGUUUUGUCUUUUUUGUUCUUCAGCUAUGAACUAUUCUUUUGCUACAGCCACGUCUUACUGCGGUCAUUUGUCAAAAACACGUCUGAAUUCGUAGCAACAGUAGAGAAGAAGAAAAGUUUCAACUAAGCGUUUUUGAACAAAGUCGGGUGUUUUUAGAAACUGCGCGUUUUUUAAAUAUUAAGUUUUUUUUAUCAAAUGUGGUUCUUUUGAAGUGGUUCUAUUUACAUUCUGUGAAAAAAAUGGUCCUUUCCAGAUUACUUAAAACGUUUCCUAUCUUUCUUUCCAGAGUCUUUUUUUUUAUCAGUUUAAAAGCACAGAAAUACAAUAUUUACCUCGUCCUGAAAAGAAUACAUUCUCUUAUGUAAAUGUGCCUUUAUCGUACAUUACCUGGCUGUCAUUAAGCCUGUCUGCAAAACCCAGCUUGCACCGAUGAAGGCUGAAAACUAAACCAGGCGCUACCCUCCGGUGUGUAACAAAUACUGCUUCUCAGUCAAACUGUAUUGUAUGAGAUGGACAGGUAUGAAAAGUUUGUUAGUUAAACUCAACAACAUUUUAAUACAGAGUAGAAAGAGACAAAGACAGUUACAGAAAGCUACAAGUAGGUCUCGACACCAAAAAAGUUACAAUUCCACUUAAAGUAAAAUGACGUAACGCUUGUUGUGGGAAGGCGAGACUGUAGUGACAUCAAUCUGGCGCUUUAUGCAGACCCGGCAGGCACAGGAACCUAUAAGGAGCAUUUACAUAUCUAUAAUACUGUAUUAUGGCUGAAUAGAUA